Molecule: ribosomal RNA, 252 nt
Filed under: uncultured bacterium
Lineage: Bacteria
Description: partial 16S ribosomal RNA
Rfam family: Bacterial small subunit ribosomal RNA
Source: RNAcentral
UACGGGGGGGCAAGCGUUGUUCGGAAUUACUGGGUGUAAAGGGCUCGUAGGCGGCCAACUAAGUCAGACGUGAAAUCCCUCGGCUUAACCGGGGAACUGCGUCUGAUACUGGAUGGCUUGAGUUUGGGAGAGGGAUGCGGAAUUCCAGGUGUAGCGGUGAAAUGCGUAGAUAUCUGGAGGAACACCGGUGGCGAAGGCGGCAUCCUGGACCAACACUGACGCUGAGGAGCGAAAGUCAGGGGAGCAAACGGG